This 219-nucleotide ribosomal RNA is filed under the name uncultured bacterium. RNAcentral describes it as "partial 16S ribosomal RNA". It matches the Rfam family "Bacterial small subunit ribosomal RNA", at positions 111 to 334 of the family's 1533-position model. The record is from RNAcentral.
UAAUGUAUGGGGAUCUGCCCGAUAGAGGGGAAUAACUACUGGAAACGGUGGCUAAUACCGCAUAAUGUCUACGGACCAAAGCAGGGGCUCUCGGACCUUGCACUAUCGGAUGAACCCAUAUGGGAUUAGCUAGUAGGUGGGGUAAAGGCUCACCUAGGCGACGAUCUCUAGCUGGUCUGAGAGGAUGAUCAGCCACACUGGGACUGAGACACGGCCCAG